AACCAGGAUUCCCUCAGUAGCUGCGAGCGAACAGGGAUUAGCCCAGCACCGAAUCCCGCGGCCGAUACCGGACGCCGGGAAAUGUGGUGUUCGGGAGGGUCCGUUUAUCCCGAGAUCGCGCGGCGCGUCCAAGUCCAUCUUGAACGGGGCCACAGCCCAUAGAGGGUGCCAGGCCCGUAGCGACCGCCGCCGGUAGCGGGAGGAUCUCUCCUUAGAGUCGGGUUGCUUGAGAGUGCAGCCCUAAGCGGGUGGUAAACUCCAUCUAAGGCUAAAUAUGACCACGAGACCGAUAGCGAACAAGUACCGUGAGGGAAAGUUGAAAAGCACUUUGAAGAGAGAGUUCAAGAGUACGUGAAACCGUUUAGGGGUAAACCUGAGGAACCCGAAAUGUCGAAGGGAGAAAUUCAAUCGCGUUUCGCGGCAGGCGUCGGACGGUCGACUGCGACGGAAAACGUGGACGCGUUCGCGCGCGUCAGUUUUCCGCGCCUUCCGUUCGCUUCGAACCGGCCACGAACGCGUGCACUUUUCUCCUGGUAGGACGUCGCGAUCCGUUGGGCGUCGGUCUACGGCUCGCGGUGGAGCCCGUCUGCGUUCGUUCUUCGCACGCGGACGGACCCGCGUGUCCCGGCUGACUCGCUCGACGGUACGCUAACGGUUAAGGGCCGCUAUUUAUUAGCGUCCGAGUCGCGGCAAGCGCGCCACGUGAGUCGGCGAUCGGACCUCGUGCCGAUUCCGACCUCUGGCGACUGUUGGCAUCGCGAACAUAAUUCUCGGACAGACCUUCGACCGAUCGGCGACGCUAUAGCUUUGGGUACUUUCAGGACCCGUCUUGAAACACGGACCAAGGAGUCUAGCAUGUGCGCGAGUCAUUGGGAAUCGCUAAACCUAAAGGCGCAAUGAAAGUAAAGGUCUUCCUCGCGAAGACUUAGGGAAGACGGGCGGUUCGCGCGCGUAAAGCGCGCGGCCGCCUCGCACUCCCGGGGCGUCUCGUUCUCAUCGCGAGAAGAGGCGCACCAUGAGCGUACACGCUGGGACCCGAAAGAUGGUGAACUAUGCCUGGUCAGGACGAAGUCAGGGGAAACCCUGAUGGAGGUCCGUAGCGAUUCUGACGUGCAAAUCGAUCGUCGGAACUGGGUAUAGGGGCGAAAGACUAAUCGAACCAUCUAGUAGCUGGUUCCCUCCGAAGUUUCCCUCAGGAUAGCUGGCGCUCGUCGCGUACGAGUCUCAUCCGGUAAAGCGAAUGAUUAGAGGCAUUGGGGUCGAAACGACCUCAACCUAUUCUCAAACUUUAAAUGGGUGAGAUCUCCGGCUUGCUCGAAUUACGUACGCGUCGUCGUUUCGGCGUCGGCGCGUAAUAAUGAAGCCGCGAGAUACACGGAUCAGAGUGCCAAGUGGGCCAUUUUUGGUAAGCAGAACUGGCGCUGUGGGAUGAACCAAACGUCGAGUUAAAGCGCCUAAAUCGACGCUUAUGGGAUACCAUGAAAGGCGUUGGUAACUUAAGACAGCAGGACGGUGGCCAUGGAAGUCGGAAUCCGCCAAGGAGUGUGUAACAACUCACCUGCCGAAGUUACUAGCCCUGAAAAUGGAUGGCGCUGAAGCGUCGUGCUAUACUCGACCGUCAGCGGCAUGUGCGAUCGCCGCGUUCGCGCGCGGCGUUCAUGAAGCCCUGACGAGUAGGAGGGUCGCGGCGGUGAGCGCAGAAGGGCUGGCCGCGAGGCCGUCUGGAGCCGCCGUCGGUGCAGAUCUUGGUGGUAGUAGCAAAUACUCCAGCGAGGCCCUGGAGGACUGACGUGGAGAAGGGUUUCGUGUGAACAGCCGUUGCACACGAGUCAGUCGAUCCUAAGCCCUAGGCGAAAGCCGAUGUCGAUGUGGUGUAGAUUUGAGAAAAAUGAACGUAGAAGCGAGCGGCGAGUCGGAAAUCGGUUUCUUUGUUUGUUUUUUCUCGUCGUCGUCCUCU
RNAcentral lists this ribosomal RNA (1957 nucleotides) under Myrmex floridanus. RNAcentral describes it as "eukaryotic LSU rRNA". It matches the Rfam family "Eukaryotic large subunit ribosomal RNA", at positions 67 to 1655 of the family's 3401-position model. The record is from RNAcentral. Lineage: Eukaryota; Metazoa; Arthropoda; Insecta; Coleoptera; Curculionidae.